Molecule: ribosomal RNA, 253 nt
Filed under: uncultured bacterium
Lineage: Bacteria
Description: partial 16S ribosomal RNA
Rfam family: Bacterial small subunit ribosomal RNA
Source: RNAcentral
UACGGAGGGUGCGAGCGUUGUCCGGAAUCACUGGGCGUAAAGGGCGCGUAGGUGGCGCGGGCAGUCAACGGUGAAAGUUCGGGGCUCAACCCUGAAUCGGCCGUCGAUACUCCCGAGCUCGAGCGCUGUAGAGGCAGAUGGAAUUCCGGGUGUAGCGGUGGAAUGCGUAGAGAUCCGGAAGAACACCGGUGGCGAAGGCGGUCUGCUGGGCAGUAGCUGACACUGAGGCGCGACAGCGUGGGGAGCAAACAGG